UCCUAAGGCCCUCUGCUUAGGACUGACGGGGCUGGCAGCAGAGCUGGCCCGCCACUCGGAUCUCGAGUUUUCCCACUGACCACUGUGAUGCCUCCUUGCAGAUGAGCCAAGUGCCCAGGUUUCACGCAGCGUCUCAAGGCCUGGCUGGCCUCUGGACCACCGUUCUACUCUCUGUCUCUGUGAAUUUGGCUACACCAGGUCCCUCAAAUAAGCGGAAUCAUGCUGAAUAAUACUCCACUGUAUGGAUAUACCACCUGUCAUGUAUCCUUUCACCCACCCGUGGACACUUGGGUUUUUUCACCCUUUGGCUGCUGUGAAUAACGCUGCUGUGAACAUAAGGCACAAACGAGGAAGCUUUUUUGAUGGUACCCCACAUCGGAGCAAACGAGUGCACCACACGCCCAGCACGAAGACCUGGAGCCGCCGAAGCUAGACGGGUGAUAUAACCACAAACUCUGGAGGCUGACGGUGGAGACGGUGUGCUAUGGGGUGGAAGUCAGCCCCCGCUGCGGGUACGGCUUGGGUUUGAGAAAGUGUGAGCUGGUUAAGCGGAGGCGAGCCUGGGCCUCUCUUCCUGCCUCUCCCUCUCCCAUGCCCUCAGCCUCUGGCCCUGCUUGCUCUCCUCUCUCUCCUCACCUUAACCCCGACUUAGUGCACCCGGAUGCCACCCAAGGCCCCACAUGUCCCUCUCCGACCGUUUUGGUGCCAGAUCCCAGGGAGGCAUCUGAUUGGCUCUGCUCUCACCAGGCUACCCCUGAUAGGUCACUGGCCAGCCUAUGGAUGGGCUCUCCUUGGUCAAGUGUCCAUUCCUGGUCCAAUCACCCGGGGAGAGCAGUCUCACAUGUGUGGGGGGUGGGCUGCAGUUCUCCCAGUGGUCCGCUCUCAGAUUCCCCGCUGCUGUGGCUGGCAUAGGGGGUGGCGUGGGCAGGGCACGUUCAGGUUUAACAGCGCCCUUGGUAGUCUGAGGGGGGCUGCAAGGAGCGGAUGUGGAGGACCCUAGGCAGGCCAGAGGGUCUGAGCUGACUGCCCUGUGAACCCCAAGCCUGACAAUAACCAAGGGAGGGGGCGGAGCGGGGGAGCAGUCCUGCCCCUGGGCCGAGACUCGCCUGCGCCCCUUCUCUUAAGGAGGCACCUGGGUCUUGGUGUUUGGAGAGUUGGUUGGUGCAGGGUGUGUGUGUGGCGGGGGGAGCCAGUGCCCCUUUCUCACUCAGGGAGCCCCACAGUGCGGGCUUCAGCUCCUGAGCUUUUCCUGACCUUGUCUUAAGCCCCAGGGUGUCCUGUCUGGAGUCUGGGACCCUCUGCGCCGGUUCUUCAGCGAGUCUCUGAGCACGGGGGUCUGCAGGUACCUUUUGGGUUCAGGCUCAAGUCAGUGCAACCCUGUCCCCACAGGACGCGGGGGACAGGGGUUGGCGUGUGUGUGCUGCUCUCCCCGCCAGGCACACACUCGAUCUACUUCUCCCAAGGGAUCUUCCCUCCCAGAAACGUCUGCCAGGGGGCCAGGCCCCCCACCCCAACACAGCAGCGUCCCUAAUUGCCCCGUAUUAAUUGCCCGCUUCACCCGUGCAGCUGGGCGGGGCCUCCCCUGGGCUCGGAGCGCGUUAUUGGAAGGAAACUGAUUUCCCCAGUUUGGGAGAAUUCAGACUUGGGGGUUAACUUCUUGUGGUUUUCGAGCAUUUAUCAUUCAAAACAGGUUUCAUUCCCUCCCGGAGGGUUUUCUGUAAACAACUCAGAAGUCACCCCACAGCACCCGGGCUCCUGCCCAGCUGGGGUUCCUGACCUAGGGGACACCGCAGCACUACACAGGCCCCAAGGGUUCGGGGCCUGAAACCUGGAGGGCUCAGGCUGCCCCGCGCCGCGGCUCUCGCGGAGCGCAGCCCGUCCGAAGGCCUCGCCCUCGCUACUUUCCUUUUGUUUUUGAGUUUUAUUGAUGCAUAAUUUAUAUGCCGUAAAAUUCCCC
Molecule: long non-coding RNA, 1957 nt
Organism: Equus quagga
Lineage: Eukaryota; Metazoa; Chordata; Mammalia; Perissodactyla; Equidae
Exons: 3
Source: RefSeq, a predicted model, not a curated record